AGGACAAACAGUUCCGCCGCUCCUCCUUCGCUCUUCGAGCUUCGGAGGAGAGGAAAGUCCGGACUUCCGGUUAUUCAAUUAACACGAGUAGCAGGUAAUCCCUGUCGAUCGUGAGAUAGAGUUGCGAACAGAGACGCCGAGAGAGCAAUCGCCUCGGGACCCUAAGCCGUCGGCUCGGGGUUAGUCUUGGAGGAAACUCCAAGGGUGAAACGGCUAAAUACUUACUUGGAAGCAAGGGCAAAUUAGGUAGCCCGCUUGAGUCGCGCCGCGAGGCGUGAUCGAGAUAGAUGGCGGUCAAAACAGAAUCCGGCUUAUUCGUUUGUCUUGGGA
Molecule: RNase P RNA, 330 nt
Filed under: Candidatus Falkowbacteria bacterium RIFOXYC2_FULL_48_21
Lineage: Bacteria; Candidatus Falkowiibacteriota
Description: RNase P RNA component class A
Rfam family: Bacterial RNase P class A
About the family: Ribonuclease P (RNase P) is a ubiquitous endoribonuclease, found in archaea, bacteria and eukarya as well as chloroplasts and mitochondria. Its best characterised activity is the generation of mature 5'-ends of tRNAs by cleaving the 5'-leader elements of precursor-tRNAs.
Source: RNAcentral